CUCAAUUCAUUUUGCCAUCUACCAUUUUCAUCUUCUGGUACUUCCCUGCUUCUCUUCCUUUAUUUCAUCAUCAGAGAAAUAAUGAAGAACACCAACCAAACUAGUUCACUUUAUGAGAGCUAGAUAUAUUGCUUGUAGUGGGCUUGGUUUCUUUUGAUGAUGAGCUAGUACUUAGUAUAUCAGUCUAGGCUACUACCUCAUCAUCCAAAGAAAAAAACAAGUACCACAUAAAUCCGGUUGACCUCCUAGAAUUAUAUUGGCAGGCCAGAUUACAAGCUGGGUGAUCUGCAUUUCUGGAAGGCAAUUCUAUAUAUAUUUAAAGGAGGGAGUCUGAGGUUCACUGUAAAUACUUCGGUAUAGUAACAGUUGCGGCUUGAUCCGAGACCAUGAUAUAAAAGAUGGCUUUGUUAUCAGCAACUCAGCAAGGAAAAAUCCAUCUAUUGACCUGGGGCUGGAGUUUAAGAAGAUUGCCAAUUUCUUGAGUCGAUUCAAGUCAAUCCUCAGCUUCAUUGAGCUUGAUAGCCUUAAGGUGUCUGCUGAUGUGUGGUACAUUGCUGGCGUUGUUCUCAUGGUAUGCAUGUCACUGGAGGUGCACAACUGGGUUCUGAACCGUCUUGGCAUAUAUCAGUCGAGUCAUUUCUGGGUAUUUAUUGGUGUUUCAAAGCAUUCAAACCUUUGCCCAAAUUUGCUUAUCCUGUCUUUGAAAAUAGACCAGAUUGAGGUGGCAGCAAGUUGCUCACUAUCUGAUAUUUCAGUGUCAAGAGAAGUAACAUGUCUACAAUUUCACAGGGUACCAUCAGAGAUAGAGAGUACUGAGUACAGUCAGUUAUUGGCUGAUGAUCAUUCAAGCCUGCAAGUCCUUAAACCCUAGGCCCUAUACCGGAUUGAUAUUGUAACAGGUUUGGGACAACGGAGUAGGGUUACAGGAAAUUCUAUGGUGAGGCAUGCGGUGCAGGAAUUGCUGCACAUGUUUAGCUUCCCGUGGGGAGUCUCUUAAUAGAUAGUUGUUCCAAAUCUUAUGUGCAGCGGAUGCAUUUGUUAUAGGCAGUAAUGCUUCCUUUCUGUCAUCAACGCCGUUGGAAGAGGAGGAUUAGCAGGCUUAGUCGAUUAAUUCUUCUAUUGUGAGUAUGACUAUGGAUUUAAGUUGUUCUUUUGUGCAGCUUUAAGUUGAGUAAUAAAUUUCAG
Molecule: long non-coding RNA, 1185 nt
Organism: Rosa chinensis
Lineage: Eukaryota; Viridiplantae; Streptophyta; Magnoliopsida; Rosales; Rosaceae
Exons: 4
Source: RefSeq, a predicted model, not a curated record